RNAcentral lists this ribosomal RNA (253 nucleotides) under uncultured bacterium. RNAcentral's name for it is "partial 16S ribosomal RNA". It matches the Rfam family "Bacterial small subunit ribosomal RNA", at positions 524 to 776 of the family's 1533-position model. The record is from RNAcentral.
UACGUAGGUGGCAAGCGUUGUCCGGAUUUACUGGGCGUAAAGAGCGCGCAGGCGGUCGAUUUAGUCGCGUGUGAAAGCCCCCGGCUCAACUGGGGAGGGUCACGCGAUACUGAUCGACUCGAAGGCAGGAGAGGGUAGUGGAAUUCCUGGUGUAGCGGUGAAAUGCGCAGAUAUCAGGAGGAACACCGGUGGCGAAGGCGGGUCUCUGGGCCGUAACUGACGCUGAGGAGCGAAAGCGUGGGGAGCGAACAGG